This 451-nucleotide ribosomal RNA is filed under the name Streptococcus sp. HMSC057F04. RNAcentral's name for it is "bacterial SSU rRNA". It matches the Rfam family "Bacterial small subunit ribosomal RNA", at positions 467 to 917 of the family's 1533-position model. Lineage: Bacteria; Bacillati; Bacillota; Bacilli; Lactobacillales; Streptococcaceae. The record is from RNAcentral.
AAGUGACGGUAACUAACCAGAAAGGGACGGCUAACUACGUGCCAGCAGCCGCGGUAAUACGUAGGUCCCGAGCGUUGUCCGGAUUUAUUGGGCGUAAAGCGAGCGCAGGCGGUUCUUUAAGUCUGAAGUUAAAGGCAGUGGCUUAACCAUUGUACGCUUUGGAAACUGGAGGACUUGAGUGCAGAAGGGGAGAGUGGAAUUCCAUGUGUAGCGGUGAAAUGCGUAGAUAUAUGGAGGAACACCGGUGGCGAAAGCGGCUCUCUGGUCUGUAACUGACGCUGAGGCUCGAAAGCGUGGGGAGCAAACAGGAUUAGAUACCCUGGUAGUCCACGCCGUAAACGAUGAGUGCUAGGUGUUAGGCCCUUUCCGGGGCUUAGUGCCGCAGCUAACGCAUUAAGCACUCCGCCUGGGGAGUACGACCGCAAGGUUGAAACUCAAAGGAAUUGACGGG